CGGCAAUGGAGGAAACUCUGACCGAGCAACGCCGCGUGAACGAUGAAGUACCUCGGUAUGUAAAGUUCUUUUAUUAAGGAAGAAAAAAGAGUGGAAAAACUCCCUUGACGGUACUUAAUGAAUAAGCCCCGGCUAAUUAUGUGCCAGCAGCCGCGGUAAUACAUAAGGGGCGAGCGUUAUCCGGAAUUAUUGGGCGUAAAGGGUGCGUAGGCGGUUUAAUAAGUCUAUAGUUUAAUUUCAGUGCUUAACGCUGUUGUGCUAUAGAAACUGUUUUACUAGAGUGAGAUAGAGGCAAGCGGAAUUCCAUGUGUAGCGGUAAAAUGCGUAAAUAUAUGGAGGAACACCAGAGGCGUAGGCGGCUUGCUGGGUCUUUACUGACGCUGAGGCACGAAAGCGUGGGGAGCAAACAGGAUUAGAUACCCUGGUAGUCCACGCCGUAAACGAUGAGUACUAAGUGUCGGGUAAAACCGGUACUGAAGUUAACACAUUAAGUACUCCGCCUGAGUAGUACGUACGCAAGUAUGAAACUUAAAGGAAUUGAAGGGACUCCGCACAAGCGGUGGAUCAUGUUGUUUAAUUCGAAGAUACACGAAAAACCUUACCAGGUCUUGACAUUUUCUUGCGAAGUUAUAGAAAUAUAAUGGAGGUUAUCAGGAAAACAGGUGGUGCAUGGUUGUCGUCAGCUCGUGUCGUGAGAUGUUAGGUUAAGUCCUAAAACGAGCGCAACCCUUGUCGUUAAUUGCCAGCAUGUAAUGAUGGGGACUUUAACGAGACUGCCAAUGAAAAAUUGGAGGAAGGUGGGGAUUACGUCAAAUCAUCAUGCCCCUUAUGAUCUGGGCUACAAACGUGAUACAAUGGUUGAUACAAAGAGUAGCUGAA
This 879-nucleotide ribosomal RNA is filed under the name Pepper phytoplasma. RNAcentral's name for it is "bacterial SSU rRNA". It matches the Rfam family "Bacterial small subunit ribosomal RNA", at positions 366 to 1254 of the family's 1533-position model. The record is from RNAcentral. Lineage: Bacteria; Bacillati; Mycoplasmatota; Mollicutes; Acholeplasmatales; Acholeplasmataceae.